UACGGAGGAUCCAAGCGUUAUCCGGAAUCAUUGGGUUUAAAGGGUCCGUAGGCGGUUUAGUAAGUCAGUGGUGAAAGCCCAUCGCUCAACGGUGGAACGGCCAUUGAUACUGCUAGACUUGAAUUAUUAGGAAGUAACUAGAAUAUGUAGUGUAGCGUGAAAUGCUUAGAGAUUACAUGGAAUACCAAUUGCGAAGGCAGGUUACUACUAAUGGAUUGACGCUGAUGGACGAAAGCGUGGGUAGCGAACAGG
RNAcentral lists this ribosomal RNA (252 nucleotides) under uncultured bacterium. RNAcentral describes it as "partial 16S ribosomal RNA". It matches the Rfam family "Bacterial small subunit ribosomal RNA", at positions 524 to 776 of the family's 1533-position model. The record is from RNAcentral.